This 468-nucleotide ribosomal RNA is filed under the name uncultured bacterium. RNAcentral describes it as "partial 16S ribosomal RNA". It matches the Rfam family "Bacterial small subunit ribosomal RNA", at positions 28 to 507 of the family's 1533-position model. The record is from RNAcentral.
GACGAACGCUGGCGGCGUGCUUAACACAUGCAAGUCGAACGGACAGGCCCUGCUUUUGUGGGUUUCUCGUGUGGCGAACGGGUGAGUAACACGUGUGUAACCUCCCCUUGACUUUGGGAUAACUUCACGAAACUCGGGCUCUUACCCGAUAUGAGCUCCUGCUGCAUGUUGGGGGUUGGUAAGUUUCGGCGGUUGGGGAUCGACUCGCGGCUUAUCCGCUUCUUUGUGGGGUAGUUGCUUACCAAGGCUUUGACGGGUAGCCGGCCUGAGAGGGUUGCCGGCCACAUGGGGACUGAGAUACGGCCCAGAAGCGUACGGGAGGCAGCAGUGGGGAAUAUUGCAGAAUGGGGGGAAGCCUGAGGCAGAAACGCCGCGUGCGGGAUGACGGCCUUCGGGUUGUAAACCGCUUUCGCCUGAGACGAAGCGUGAGUGACGGUAAUGGGUAAAGAAGCACCGGCUAACUACGUG